This is a non-coding RNA of Salmo salar (Atlantic salmon), 58 nucleotides long. The record is from Rfam. NCBI's taxonomy places the organism in Eukaryota, Metazoa, Chordata, Actinopteri, Salmoniformes, Salmonidae.
UAGCUCAGUUGGUAGAGCAUGGUGUUUGCAAUGCCAGGGUUGUGGGUUCGAUUCCCAA